This 221-nucleotide unclassified non-coding RNA is filed under the name uncultured Thelephoraceae. RNAcentral's name for it is "sequence contains ITS2". The record is from RNAcentral. Lineage: Eukaryota; Fungi; Basidiomycota; Agaricomycetes; Thelephorales; Thelephoraceae.
ACACCUCAACUCCUCACGGUUUGCCCGCGACGAGCUUGGACUUUGGGGGUCUUGCUGGCCUGCAGGUUGGCUCCUCUCAAACGAAUCAGCUUGCCAGUGUUUGGUGGCGUCACAGGUGUGAUAACUAUCUACGCUUGUGGUUUUCCACCAGGUAACUUCCAGCAAUGGAGGUUCACUGGAGCUCACAAAUGUCUCUCCUCGGUGAGGACAGCUCUUUGAAC